GGCCUUUUGGGAACUCAUUGACUUCAGGUUCCAUCAGAACUUCGAAGUUAAGCGAGUUCACGCAAGAGCAAUCCCAGGAUGGGUGACCCACUAGGAAGUUAUCGUGUGAGUUCCCAGAAACAAAACCGUGAGGGCGUGGUCGAUGCCCAAAGCGGACAAUAUCGUGUUACGGUAGAGUCGAGCCCUGGAUGUGGUGGGGGCCCGGGCCGGAAUGUGACAGUUUUCCACCCUCCGAGUGGUCCUAGGACCACUUUGGUUCCAAUUUACAUCCACCCUUGCGGUGGGUGGAGUUCAAGAACUCUUGUUGUUGCCUGGCUUUUUUUGCUUAUCCAUUUAUGUAUCUUAUAUGUAUAUUCUCAUCUCUACCUAGCACGAGACCUUUUGGGAACUCAUUGACUUCAGGUUCCAUCAGAACUUCGAAGUUAAGCGAGUUCACGCAAGAGCAAUCCCAGGAUGGGUGACCCACUAGGAAGUUAUCGUGUGAGUUCCCAGAAACAAAACCAGGGGAGUGGAUCCUGUAAGCCUUAUAUGUAUAUUCUCAUCUCUACCUAGCACGAGGCCUUUUGGGAACUCAUUGACUUCAGGUUCCAUCAUAACUUUGAAGUUAAGCGAGUUCACGCAAGAGCAAUCCCAGGAUGGGUGACCCACUAGGAAGUUAUCGUGUGAGUUCCCAUA
Molecule: small RNA, 675 nt
Filed under: Malus domestica (apple)
Lineage: Eukaryota; Viridiplantae; Streptophyta; Magnoliopsida; Rosales; Rosaceae
Source: RNAcentral